Molecule: ribosomal RNA, 468 nt
Filed under: uncultured soil bacterium
Lineage: Bacteria
Description: bacterial SSU rRNA
Rfam family: Bacterial small subunit ribosomal RNA
Source: RNAcentral
AGAACGAACGUUGGCGGCGUGGAUUAGGCAUGCAAGUCGCGGGAAUCCCAGCAAUGGGGGAACCGGCGUAAGGGGCAGUAAUGCGUGGGUACCUACCCUGGGGUCCGGGAUAGCCGUCCGAGAGGGCGGGUAAUACCGGAUGACCUCGGGAGAGCAAAGCUCCGGCGCCCUGGGAGGGCCCACGUGAUAUUAGCUAGUCGGCGGGGUAAUGGCCCACAAGGCAUAGAUGUCUAGCGGGUGUGAGAGCACGGCCCGCGCCACUCGCACUGAGACACUGGCGAGACACCGUACGGGUGCUGCAGUCGAGGAUCGUUCGGCAAUGUGCGCAAGGCACGGACCGAGCGACGCCGCGUGGGCGACGGAAGGCCUUCGGGUUAGUAAACGCCUGUCGAGGGAGAAAAGCCGGAAAGGUGUAGAUACUACUCCGUGGAGGAAGCGUCGGCUAAGUUCGUGCCAGCGAGCCGCGGU